AUACUGGAUUAUUGUUGUUGAUGGUGGUUAGAUCCAAUGACUAAUUGUGGUCCCAGACAAAAGUGGGUCCCAUCCAUAUGCAAUAUACAACCACAAAAUUCAAUGAUUUGACACUUAUCGUUAUGUACUAAAGAGUCCUCAUUUUUGUUUGUACAGUUGAAACAAUCUUAAUUAUGUGGGGAGUGGAAAUGGCUCCCCAAUAAUUAUUUUCCACCAACCGAAAAUGAAUUAUCACAAUCAACCUUAACUUUAUUGAUUAACUUAUACAGUAUUAAAAUUCAGCAAAUUUUGUCCAAUUAAUUAUGUGAAUAGAUAAAAAUAAUAAAGAGACCAACGAGGGUCUUCUUUGUCCUUAACAAGAGUAUAUCGAGUUCGAGUCUUGGAUAUAAAGUCGUCCUCAUUAGAAAGCGUUUUACUACUAAUAUAAAAUUUUAGGACGCAAAUCCAAAUUUAGUCGGGCCCAAAUAUGGAUAUCGGACACAGUAUUGGGGAACCAACAACAACAACAAAAAACCAGUAAUUUCUCACAAGUGGAGUCUGGAAAAGGUAAGAUGUAUGCAAUCUUACCCCAACAGUGAAAAAGAUAAGGUAAUUGCAACAAAUAACAUGAUGAAAUAAGAUCGAAUCCAAGAAUAUAAUAUGGGAAACCAAAUAUUAAAAAGAACACACAAAAAAGACAACAAAA
This 685-nucleotide long non-coding RNA is filed under the name Nicotiana benthamiana. RNAcentral describes it as "long non-coding RNA (NBEN_LNC009911)". The record is from RNAcentral. Lineage: Eukaryota; Viridiplantae; Streptophyta; Magnoliopsida; Solanales; Solanaceae.